CAUCCUCAUCCUCACCUGUGCGGAAAAGUUCAUCACCUGCUCCUGUGACUGCUACAUCAUCCUCAUCCUCACCUGUGAGGAAAAGUUCAUCACCUGCCCCUGUGACUGCUACAUCAUCCUCAUCCUCACCUGUGAGGCAGCGUUCAUCAAGAAAAAGACAGCAGGAGAGGUUUCAGUCAAGAUUGGUCAAACUACGGGAACAUCAUAACAAUUGCUCCAAGCGCUUCAAUAGAGCAGAAGUUGAAAAAACCAACAGAACAAAAAAGACUGCCAUACUUGAGGAUUGCGUUGUAUUCGAGUCUUCUGAUGCACCAUGUGCUAUGUGUACCUCUGUAAAGGCAUCACCACCCUCUCGCCCUUCUCCACUCCCCUCAUCAUCAUCAUCAUCAGCUGCCCCUGUGAUGGGCACAUCAUCUUCAUCCUCCCCAUCAUCACCUGCCCCUUUGCCCUGUGAUGCAUCCACUUCUGUGAUCUCUCCAUCACAGGUGUCCCAGAGACUCUCAAUAAGGGAGGUUCAUCAAUCCCUUCAAAAAGAAAAUGGGAGGACUCUGAGGUAAAAGCAGUUGAAAAACAUAUGAUGAAGUUCAUAAAGACCUGCAGAGUUCCUGGUAAGCAAGACUGUGAGAGAUGCAUUAAAGCAGAGUCAGAAGCCUUAAAGGAACGAACAUGGACUGGUGUGAAAAAUUAUGUGCGGAACAGGAUCACAACUUGAGGUGGAUUUUAGAGGCUACAUUGCCUUUUACUGUAAAGUGAAGAACAUGGUGAGGAAAAUGUUAAAAGCAUCAAUGCCAUUUACACCAUAUCAAACUUUAAUAACUUCUGUAAGGCCCUGUUAUACCCCGUUUUAACACUUUCCACAUCAUGCUCAUCAUUUUAAAGAAAUUAGAUAAAAGUUUAAGUAGAAAGAUGUAUAAAGAGAGAGAAUUUGUUUGAGGACAGAAGGAAACACAAUGUUAACGAAGUAAACUAGACAGGAGAAGAGAGCGGAGUAAACAUAAUAUUGAAGUGAUGGAUUAUGAGAAAGGACGAAGAGUCUAGAAAAAGACACUGCACUGACAAACUUUUCAUUGUUUUUAUUGUUCAAUUCAUUUUAGCAUGUUGCCUUCGCUAUUUCAGAUGUGCACUUUCACAAUGUGUGAAUAUUGUUUAUUUGAAAGUGAAAGUGAUGUGACAUACAGCCAAGUAUGGUGACCCAUACUCAGAAUUCGUGCUCUGUAUUUAACCCAUCUAAAGUGCACACACACACCGUGAACACACACCCGGAGCAGUGGGCAGCCAUUUAUGCUGCGGCGCCCGGGGAGCAGUUGGGGGUUCAGUGCCUUGCUCAAGGGCACCUCAGUCGUGGUAUUGCCAGCCCGAGACUCGAACCACCAACCUUAGGGUUAGGAGUCAAACUCUCUAACCACUAGGCCAUGACUUCCCCUAUUUGUUCAGUAAUCACAACUGUUUAAUAUAGUUAGAAGAUCACAUGGAUCAGCAGAAGUAAAGGGAUGAAAGAGGGAGGAGUGUAGGUAAAGGUGAAGAAAAGGAGGAGCCAAGGUAAAGCAGAAUAAAGAGGGAGGAGUGUAGGUAAAGAGGUGUGUUUGAGUUG
This is a long non-coding RNA of Cyprinus carpio carpio, 1591 nucleotides long. The record is from Ensembl. Lineage: Eukaryota; Metazoa; Chordata; Actinopteri; Cypriniformes; Cyprinidae.